This 808-nucleotide unclassified non-coding RNA is filed under the name Centaurothamnus maximus. RNAcentral describes it as "external transcribed spacer". Lineage: Eukaryota; Viridiplantae; Streptophyta; Magnoliopsida; Asterales; Asteraceae. The record is from RNAcentral.
UGGUCGAGGCAUGAGUCGGUACACGAGACGCUAAACGAAGGCAUCGACUAGGGACACGGAUGGCACAUUAGUCGGUAUAUGAUGGUUGUUGUUGGGACACGAGUUGGAACACUAAUCGGUAUAUGAACAUGACGCCCCCGAGUGGGCACGUCGUUCGGGGCUUGCCCUUGACGACGUGCUUGCGCCAACGGUCGGUCUAGGCCAACCGGGUCAAAAUGACGAUGURGCUMCACAACGUCAUUGAGGCAAGUUGGUUUUGUUGUUUUCUUUUUGUUACUUUCGCAUCGUUCGGUGCAUUCUGGGGGCUGUUUUGGCUAUUGGUGGCUUGCUUGGCUUUUUGUCGGGUGGGUCGUUAUUAGUUGGGCGGUUUUCGGGAAUGACGRCCGGGAAGGUGCAUGAGUGGUGUUUGGUUUGUUACGGGUGGUUGGCUGUCUGCUCGCGCAGCAACGUCCACGCGUGCAUACCUCUUCAGUUUUGCAGCAAGGCWUUGAUUGUCUUGAGCAUAAUGUGGGUUUCCUGUGUUGCAUACCUAACCGAUGGUAACGUGUGGGUUUUAUGAUGUUCCUUUUCGUCAUGCGUCGCUYGUGCGGUGUGGGAUGAACAGGUAAGCGGUCUUUGUGAUUCACCUUGUUGUUGCAUUUGCAACGAUGAUGUGGCCUAUGAAGCAUYGCUUGGUAUCUUGUAUACAGAACCUGAUGUGGGCAUGGGUCUUAUAAGAUCUUGAAUCUGCCCUCAUUAAGCGUUCUCGCUUCUCYAAAACGAUUUCCURCCAUGUCUUGGCUCGACCUUGCAUGGUGGGCUACGUCGA